GUUUCAAUAACUACUCAUAGAGCCGGAAGCAGAAUCCUUGAUUGAUGGAAGUACAGGUGAACGUGAGGCCUUUAAAAAGACGCUUCAGAUGUUACAACCUGAUAAAUCGAUAAACUUCGAUUUUUCGACUGUUGUAUCUUUGCCGAGAGGUUUUAAACACUCUACAAUAACGGGUUAUAAUUUUUCCAUUGUAAAGCUAAAAAAAGAAAAGCUUUGUAAGAUAUUCAUUUUAUGCGUUGAUAACGUUAGAAUCGUUCGACGCCUCCCGAAGUAUAAUGCAAACACACCAGAUAAAACGUGGUGACAGGACGGACAAUGAAAGUGUUAUCGUUUACCAGAGGCUCUGAAAUGAAUAAUUCAAAGUUGUGUAACAUUCUGGAAGUAGGAAGUCGAAUAGCCUUGAGAGAACGUUUGGAGGUCUUCUGGGAAUGCAGUCAGGUAGGAAUCACGUGUCACAGGACCCUUUAGUGAAAUGCUGCCACUACCUUUCGAAAACUACAGUCCGCCGGUGAACGAUUAAGAUCUUGGGAAAAAUCGUUCUACGUGACUAGAAAUAUAUUUUAAAAGAAAAUGAUUAGAAUAACGUAAUUGAUGUAUUGAAGAAUGUAUUCAGAAACCAGUGUUAAUCCUUAUAAAUGUAAUUAAUUUGAAUAUUUAAAAAAGCCGA
RNAcentral lists this unclassified non-coding RNA (667 nucleotides) under Bombus terrestris (buff-tailed bumblebee). Its description in RNAcentral is "misc RNA ENSBTSG00005036227.1". The record is from RNAcentral. Lineage: Eukaryota; Metazoa; Arthropoda; Insecta; Hymenoptera; Apidae.